RNAcentral lists this long non-coding RNA (5933 nucleotides) under Solanum tuberosum (potato). RNAcentral describes it as "long non-coding RNA (STUB_LNC003431)". Lineage: Eukaryota; Viridiplantae; Streptophyta; Magnoliopsida; Solanales; Solanaceae. The record is from RNAcentral.
AAUGCCCCAACAAUCUCAUGAGGAUACCAACUCCGAUGUUUCGUGGCAAAUGGCAUUGCCUGGUAUCAAUCGCUUACCUUCUAUAAAUGUAAGCACAAGCUUUGUCAGUGUCACUGAUAGCGAGGCUUUUUCAGAAUUGAGGAUCGAUGAAACCAGAUGAUUUGUGGCCUCGUUGUUGUUAGCAUUCCAUCUUAUUCUACUUCAUUCUGUCUAAUGUAAUUGUGUAUCAAAACAGUGUGUAAUAGUCAGUGUUCAGCUUUAAUUUCUGCAUUGGAUAAUAGGCAAAUGCCUCUUGACAAUGCAUCUGUAUUGAUAGUAUAUAAUAUUCAUAAUAAAGUCUCGUGUCUAUUCUCCCAUAGUGUCUAGUUUUAGUUUUUGUUUGUUCAAAUUUAUAACAUAUCAUCAUCUCUAAAAUUCUCUAUCAUCUAAAAAAAUACUACAAAAAAACCCCUCUCGGAUACAUCUCUAUUUUCUCUCAAAUACAUCUCUAUCCCCUUUCAGAUACAUCUCUAUCCCCUUUCAGAUAUAUACAUCCACUCUCUGAUACAUCCCUCCUAUUAAGUAAUGUAUCAUUUGCAAUAUAUCGGACAACUAAAGAAUAUAUCCGGGAAUAAUGCAAAAUCCAAGAUUUUUAUUAUUAGGAAAACUUAUGGGAUAGGAUGUAAUUAGUCGUACGAAUUUCUGUACUUUAUAUAAAUUAUACUAAAACAAAUGCUUUAUUUGCUUUCGCUCUAGAGUCUUUCACGGUACUUUUAUUGUUAACUUUUAAUUAUUACCCAAAAGUUCCAUUGAAAUAUCCGUCUAUUUAUUUGUUAUCAAACUCUACUUAUAUUUUUUUUUAAAUAUAUAAUUAUAUAUAUUUUUUUAAAUUUUUUUCAAACACUCAAAUGUAUUUUUCAUAAAUGAUGAGUUCUGUGAUACCAAAUAUUUUUUAAUGUUAAAUUGAUUUUAUAAAUAAUAUUUAAUUUAGAAUAAAGUAUUGAAAUUGAUAAUAACCUGUCGAAAUGUUUAGUGAAAAGAAAUGAUAAAGAAUUUUAUUAGAAUGAAUUAAUAUAUCCUUAAUUUUUAUUUAUAAGAUAUAAUAAAUUAAAAGUAUAUGUAUGGGAGAAUAACAAAUGACAAAAAAAAAAUGAAGAGGCAGUUAUGAGUUCUAUUUUACGAAGAGUAUUUUGAGACUUUAAAAACUUAUGAGGUACCAAAUAGUUAAGUAUUUGGUCAAAUAAAAAGUGUUUUUGCAUUGAAUUACAAUCAAAUAGUUAAGUAUUUUUUUUAAUCAAAAUUUUCAGGCUUUUUAUUGAUUAGAAAAGCUGAAAUAAAUACAAAACAUCACUAAUUUGGGUCUACUACACAAAUCUAAUAACUUUAUUAAAUAGAGAAAGGGUCGCCCAACUCAGACCAAACCUUUUCCUAAUAUAAAUAAACAAACAAAAAAAACUAACCAUCUAAGACAUCUUCCUUAAGAUUAGGUUUCCUAAUUCGCCGCUCCUUUCUCUUCAUCUCUCCAAAAGACCUCCACAUCUAAAAAAUAUUUUUCCUAUGGUCGAACAAGACAUUUCGUAUCCUUAAUUAUGUUGUGAAUGAUCAAUGUUCUCAAGAGGAAGAUCAUAAGAACAUUGAUUACCCACAACAUGAGGAGACUGAAGGCCUUGUUUGAUCAUAGAAUAAACAUUUUUAGAAGAAAAGGUUAUUGGAGAGAUGAAGAGGAAGCAACGGUGGAUUAAUAAACCUAAUCUUAUGGAAGAUGUCUUAGAUGAUUAGGUUUUCUUGUUUAUAUAGGGAAAUGGUUUGGUCCGAGUUGGGCAGCCUUUUCUCUAUUUAGUAAAGUAAUUAGAUUUGGGCGGUAGGCCCAAAUAAGUGAUGUUUUAUGUUUGUUUCGGCAUUCCUAAUUAAUAAAAAGCCUGGAAAUUUCAAUUUAAAAUAAAUAAAUUAAAACCAUAAUUUAGGUUAAAAAUUAUGACUCUUCAUUAAUUUUUUUUAACUUAAUAAGCGAUUUUUGAGUAUUUACUAGACAAAUAGAUAAGCUUGUUUAAAAAAAAAAAAAAAAAAAAUUUAUGAGCUAGUUUGAUAUGAUGGAGAAAACUACAUAAAAUUUGUCUUUAUUGGGUUAUUAUUAUAAAGUUAGUCUUUGUUGGGUUAUUGUCAUAAAUUCGUCUUUAUUGUAUAUUUAUCAUAAAUGUGUGUAUUUUUCUCCUUAAAAAUAACAUUUUAAGUAAAGAAGGAUGAAGGAGAAUUUUAAUUAUCCUCAAGUUUUGAAGGAUAUAGUUGAUCUUAAGGUUAACGCUUCACAAAAAAUAAUAAUUCAAGCAUACAAAGAUUAAGUAUUUUCUCUGUCCCAAAUUUGGUGAUAUGUUUUAUUUUUGAAAUUCAAAUUAUGUGAACUUUAAAAGACAUUUUAAAAUAUAUAUUUUCAUUAAACUGAUAUGAAAAAAAUUGCAUAAUGUAAUAUUUUUGUAGGGAAAAUGCAUAAGCACCCCCCAACGUAUGCCCGAAAUCUCAGAGACACACGUAUACUAUACUAAGGUCCUAUUACCUCCCCCCCCCGAACUUAUUUUAUAAAUAAUUUUCUAUCGGCCUACGUGGCACUAUCUUGUGGGCCCAGCGCGUGUUGACAAAUUUUUCAAGCUAUCUGUUGAUAGUGCCACGUAGGUCGAAAAGGGGUAGAAAAUUAUUUAUAAAAUAAGUUCGGAGGGUAAUAGGACCUUAGUAUAGUAUAAGUGUGUCUCCGAGAUUUCGAGCAUAGGGUUGGGGGGGGGGGGGCUACUUAUAUAUUUUCCAUAUUUUUGUAUAGUAUUUGAAUAUUUAUAGUUUAAAUGUAACUAUUAAAUUGAUUUAAUUCAAUUUUUCUUCAAAAAUUAGUCAAAUUAACUCUCGAAAGCGAAAUAUGACAAUUAAUUUGGCAAAAGUACUCAUUACCCCCCUGAACUUGAAGCUUUUUAUACGGUGUACACCUAAACUAAAUUCCGUUUUAAUUACCCCCGAACUUGUUUAUUCCUCCGUCGCGUACACCUUUUUUGUCUACCUGGCGUAGAAAUUGACAACACACUUUUCUAGGCGCGUGAGAAAGUGAUUUUUUGCUACAUCACAAAGCUACAACGGUAAAAAAAAACGUAAAAUCUCCAUUUUCUUUAAUAUUUGGCAUAUUUUAAACGAAAAAUAGGGCAAAAUGUAAAUGAAAAGUAAAGGAAACAAAGAUUAACACUUAUUUGGUAAGAAUUUCCAACAAAUUUGAAAUUCAAGGAGUUUCACGAAAUCAACCCUUAUUCAAAAAUAACUUUUAAACGAUGAAUUUUAAUAUUUGGCAUAUUUUAAACGAAAAAUAGGGCAAAAUGUAAAUGAAAAUUAAAGGAAACAAAGAUUAACACUUACUUGGUAAGAAUUUCAGACAAAUUUGAAAUUUAAUCGACCAACUUCACGUCUAGAAAAACCCAAAUCCAGAAGGAGUUCCGCGAAAUCAGCCCUUAUUCAAAAAUAACUUUUAAACAAUGAAUUUUAAAUUUAAGAAAUUUAUUUUUUGCAAUAUUAAUUUAUCUAGGUGACUAUUAUUUAUCCAGGUGGAAAUCCACAUCACCACUUUUGCCAGCUGUCGCGCGCGUGUAGUCACAAUAGGAGCAGGUGGACGAAAAAGGUGUACGCGACGGAGGAAUAAACAAGUUCGGGGGUAAUUAAAACGGAAUUUAGUUUAGGUGUACACCGUAUAAAAAGCUUCAAGUUCAGGGGAGUAAUGAAUACUUUUGCCCAAUUAAUUUAGAAGGAGUAUUAUUUUGGUUGAGUCAUCAGCUGUGGUUUAAUCACAAUUAGAUCAAGUAUUUUAUAAACUAUUGAGAAAAUGGUCAAAUACCCCCCAACCUAUAGUCGGAUUCCCAACUACACACUCAUACUUUACGAGAGUUCUAUUACACCCUUGGACUAUUUUAAAAUGGAGUUAUUUGCUCCCUAAAUGCUUAUGUGACAAAAAAGGUGUAGUUCACUCUCUUUGGGAGAGUGAUAGAUAAAAAGAUAGUUAAACUAUUAAAUUUAUAAAUAUUUAAUUUAUUUCAUAUUAAUAUUCUAUUUUUUUUAAAAAAUAUGUUUCCUUUUAUUAUUUUUUACCUUCUUUAUCUUUUCCCUUCAAUCUUCAUCAUCAGAUCCAUACUAGACAUCGGCGGUGGCUCAUCUCGACCACCAGGUCACCGCCCUCAUCAAUUUUUCAUCACUAAGUCAAUUCUCAUCACCAAAUCACAUACUUUUCAUCUUAUCUCCACUUUUCAUCACUUUGAAAAUUUGUUGGUAGCUCAAAAUCAAAAUUCGAAGUUACAAGAAUCUAACUUUAGACUAGUCAUUAAUGGAGGAGUUCACUAAGUAAUAGAUUCAAUUAAUGGAGAAGAAUUCAUCAUUGGGUAACUGACCCUUUAAUGAAGAAGACCCAUUUAUUAAAAUUGUUGUAAACAUCAAUCGAAUUUCUCAUAUCAACAUUGUUAAAUCUAAACCAAUACUAGUCCCUCCGCAAGUUUGGUACCUUUAUCCCGGCAAGCAAGUAUCGUUUACUUGUGAUUCUUUGAAGAAUCGAUCUUUGAGAAAUAUUAUAAUAGCGGAAGAAGAAGCAAUAAUUAGUGAUAGAGUUUUUCGUUUGUCUCUAGCUUUAGAAAACGAGAUUUCCUGGUGUGCGGUGAAGGUCAAAGUAUCGAUAGUCCUGGCGUCCUCUCGUCAAAUCUGCAGAAGGUUCAAAGAAAAAGAAAUGGAGGAAUGGAAAAGAAAGAGAAAAGGAGAAGAUGAAAAUAUAAAAUAAAAAAGUAAAAUAUAAAAUAACAAUUAAUUUUUUUUAUAUGAAAAAAAGGUAAUAUUACGUGGCAGCGCGUGUUGAAUACCACCUAAUACAAAUUUGGGCUUGAGUUUGUAGGGCGGGGGGAGGAGGGGGGGGUUGGUCAUUUAGAAAGCCUUAAAAAAAGACUUAAUACCUCCAAACUAAACAUUGUUUUAAAAAAUGAAAAAAAUAUUUAUAUACACAUCCUUAUUUACCAUAUUUUCUAUUAUUCCAUACCAUUUCAAAAUAUUACAAAAAUUCCUCUUUUUCAUCCAAAACCAAACUCAAUCGAAUACAUUACCGAUCAACUCCCAAAGCCACGCUCCCCUCUUCCUAUUUUCACUCCCACAAUCUUAUCAAUUUCUUCCUUCAUUACAAUUUGAAUUUCAAAAAUUUUCUCUCUCCAGUCAAUCGAAUUCAACUUCAUGAAUAUGUAGUUUUUCGUCUUCUCCAACUUAUGGUUCAUCCUUGUUUUCUUUUUUUUCAUCAUCAAAGUCCUGCUUUAUAUGGAAGAUGCUCCUUCUUUUCGACUUCGUGAAAAAAUGCACAAAAACGGAGAAAAAGGUCAAGUUGUUGGUGGCUCUUAUAAGGACUUUGGGCCGAGAUUCAUGGGUGAUGUCAUUGUUGAAAGUGAAAAAAAGUUAUGGGAGUUGAUAUUGAGCAAAGGAGAAAGUGUAGAAGGAUUUCUUCACAAUUUUUUUUAUUUCAGCACAUCAGAUUGUUGAUUUUUUUUUUUUUGAUACUUUGUUGUUCAACAUUUUUUUUAUACAAAAAAAAGGGGAGUAGAUCAUGUUGUUAAACACACUUCUCUAUCCAAGGUUCAGAUUUUUAAUGUAGUUGAUUUUGAUUUAUAAAUUUAUGUAUAAUACCUUCGUUUCAACUUUAUGAUACGUUAAAUUAGCCUUUGUUAGUGUUAUCACUGAUCUGAUACAUCAUUGCUACAAUAGCUUUCGUUAUUAUGCAAUGUAUCAUGUUCAUAUUUACAGUUUUGAUACAUAACCCUAAUGUUGUUGAAUCUUUGAUUAGUAUUUAUCAUGUUUAAUAUAAAUGAACUUGAUACAUAAACACUACCGAGGUUUCUCAGAAUUGAGGAUAGAUGAAACCAGAUGAUUUGUGGCCUUGUUGUUGUUAGCAUUCAUCGAUAUGUAAUUCC